RNAcentral lists this unclassified non-coding RNA (216 nucleotides) under Hevea brasiliensis (rubber tree). The record is from RNAcentral. Lineage: Eukaryota; Viridiplantae; Streptophyta; Magnoliopsida; Malpighiales; Euphorbiaceae.
AGGGCUUCAUAUUUUUUAUAUGGUUGAAUUGUCAAAUUAUAAUUACUCCUUUUUCCUUUUUCAUUCUUCUUCUAGAUAUUAUUAUUAUUAUUUUAAAUUUCUCAUUCAUUGUGGGAAUAAUAUUUUGAUUUAAUUUCAGUAAUUCAAUGACAGCUUCACAAAUUCAAGAAAAUUAGUUCAAAAAGAAAAGAAAGUGCGUACCCAACUGCAGUUGAU